Molecule: long non-coding RNA, 738 nt
Filed under: Equus caballus (horse)
Lineage: Eukaryota; Metazoa; Chordata; Mammalia; Perissodactyla; Equidae
Description: lncRNA (ENSECAG00000059074.1)
Source: RNAcentral
CUAGCACCAAAACAGAAACACAUUUGGCCUGGGAGCUUUCCAGACAGAAAGGACAGCUGAGUUGAUUUUAGGCUCUCUUUCCAGUUUGGAAAGAGUAUAAACGGCUAACUCCUUUUCUUUGUCUUUCUCUGCUAGAUAUUUCCAACGUUGGCAGGAGGGCGGUCUGCAACUGACAACACCAGCAGUAAUUACUGAGGAGACACUCUCUUUCUCCUCAAGACACUCUAUUCUUGGAGAAGUCUGAUUCUUACUGUCACAGGUGGAGUCACUGAAUUGGCCCUGAGCUAAUGUCUGUGCCCAUCCUCCUCUAUUUUGCAUGUGGCACACUGCCACAGCAUGGCUUGAGGAGCAGUGUGCACAUCCACACCUGGGAUCCAAACCUGCAAAUCCUGGGCCGCUGAAGCAGAGCGCGUGAACUGAACCAUUACACCACCGGGCUGACUUAUGUGAUUGAAAGUGAGGUGGAGCUAUUGUCUUUUGGUUUUUAAGCCAAAAACAUAUAGACCUGUGGAUGUUGGCAGACCUCCUCUGCACCACACAGAGAGGACCUUUAUGCAGUAGAAGAUGAGCUAACAGAAGCAUAAACAAGGAGAGAAAAAGAGAUGGAUGGAGACAAGUGUGAGUCCUUAGCUCUAGUCCUUGUCAUCUUAUGUCCAGUUUUGACUUUGUAUCUAGAAAGUUCAAGCACUCUUUAAAUAACAUACUUAGCCUACAGGAAUAUCCAGGAGGCUUGGCGAC